This 229-nucleotide ribosomal RNA is filed under the name uncultured bacterium. RNAcentral's name for it is "partial 16S ribosomal RNA". It matches the Rfam family "Bacterial small subunit ribosomal RNA", at positions 568 to 796 of the family's 1533-position model. The record is from RNAcentral.
UGCGUAGGCGGAAUAUUAAGUCAGUGGUGAAAUCCUGCGGCUCAACCGUAGAACUGCCAUUGAUACUGAUAUUCUUGAAUGUAGUUGAGGUAGGCGGAAUGUGUAAUGUAGCGGUGAAAUGCUUAGAUAUUACACAGAACACCGAUUGCGAAGGCAGCUUACUAAACUAUGAUUGACGCUGAGGCACGAAAGCGUGGGGAGCGAACACGAUUAGAUACCCUGGUAGUCC